RNAcentral lists this transfer RNA (87 nucleotides) under Gemmataceae bacterium. Its description in RNAcentral is "tRNA-Leu". It matches the Rfam family "tRNA". Rfam says of the family: Transfer RNA (tRNA) molecules are approximately 80 nucleotides in length. Their secondary structure includes four short double-helical elements and three loops (D, anti-codon, and T loops). The record is from RNAcentral. Lineage: Bacteria; Pseudomonadati; Planctomycetota; Planctomycetia; Gemmatales; Gemmataceae.
GCCGAAGUGGCGGAAUUGGCAGACGCGCCGGACUCAAAAUCCGGUGCCCGAAAGGGUGUGUGGGUUCGAUUCCCACCUUCGGCACUA